Molecule: ribosomal RNA, 655 nt
Filed under: Salmonella enterica subsp. enterica serovar Infantis
Lineage: Bacteria; Pseudomonadati; Pseudomonadota; Gammaproteobacteria; Enterobacterales; Enterobacteriaceae
Also listed under: 1 other name
Description: partial 23S ribosomal RNA
Rfam family: Bacterial large subunit ribosomal RNA
Source: RNAcentral
AGACCCGAAACCCGGUGAUCUAGCCAUGGGCAGGUUGAAGGUUGGGUAACACUAACUGGAGGACCGAACCGACUAAUGUUGAAAAAUUAGCGGAUGACCUGUGGCUGGGGGUGAAAGGCCAAUCAAACCGGGAGAUAGCUGGUUCUCCCCGAAAGCUAUUUAGGUAGCGCCUCGUGAAUUCAUCUCCGGGGGUAGAGCACUGUUUCGGCUAGGGGGCCAUCCCGGCUUACCAACCCGAUGCAAACUGCGAAUACCGGAGAAUGUUAUCACGGGAGACACACGGCGGGUGCUAACGUCCGUCGUGAAGAGGGAAACAACCCAGACCGCCAGCUAAGGUCCCAAAGUCAUGGUUAAGUGGGAAACGAUGUGGGAAGGCCCAGACAGCCAGGAUGUUGGCUUAGAAGCAGCCAUCAUUUAAAGAAAGCGUAAUAGCUCACUGGUCGAGUCGGCCUGCGCGGAAGAUGUAACGGGGCUAAACCAUGCACCGAAGCUGCGGCAGCGACACUCAGGUGUUGUUGGGUAGGGGAGCGUUCUGUAAGCCUGCGAAGGUGGCCUGUGAGGGUUGCUGGAGGUAUCAGAAGUGCGAAUGCUGACAUAAGUAACGAUAAAGCGGGUGAAAAGCCCGCUCGCCGGAAGACCAAGGGUUCCUGUCCAA